Molecule: non-coding RNA, 6997 nt
Organism: Callithrix jacchus (white-tufted-ear marmoset)
Lineage: Eukaryota; Metazoa; Chordata; Mammalia; Primates; Cebidae
Source: RefSeq, a predicted model, not a curated record
GGCUUCGUUUUCCCGCAGUAGGAUUUUCAGGAAAGGACAGGGCCGGGCGCAGUGGCUCACGCCUGUAAUCCCAGCACUUUCAGAGGCCGAGGCGGGUGGAUCACGAGGCUAAGAGAUCGAGACCAUCCUGGUCAACGAGAAACAGGUUUAGUUAAGGAAAAACGUGGGCAGAAAGUCCACCUAAAAGAUAUUUUAAGGAAGACAAAACACAGAUGGCACAAAAUCCAAAGCUGCCCGGAGUUUGGUAGACUCAGGAGCCACGGUGAAGAGGGCAGACUCCAGAUCAGAGGGCCUGGGCUUCCAUUCUGGCUCUGACUCUGUGAUUUUAGGUACAUGCACCCCUCUGCAGACGAGACCACACACGUUUAACACAGUUGUGGCAUGAGAUCUGAAGGCGUGAGAUCUACCUUCCUGCCCCCAGCAUGAAAUGGUGAAACAGCAUUUCAUUUGGCUGGUGACCUCCCCUGGACUUAGUUACCACCUCUGCAGAAAGGGGGCAGUAACAGGACCUGCAGCACAUCUGUUGUCAUGAAGACCACAUGCGCUAAUACACGUGGGAAGCCUUUAGCACAGCGCCUGGGAGAGCAUAAAAGGCUCGGUGCAAGGCAGAAGAAAGGCGUGUCCUGGUAUGACAGGGCCCUUCCGACCAGGGCUGGUACUAAGGCUCCCAACUUGAGAAUGUGAGCUUCGCGAGGCCAGAGACUUCAGUCUAAAUUGUUUGCUGCUGAAUCUGCGGAGCCAGGAGUGUACCUGGAACACAGUGGUGGCUCCAUCCGCUUGGACAAAUACAUUUGGGGCUUCCCAUUUUGCCUCGAUAUAGUUCAACCUACAUCAGAUGAUGCUGUGCCUUGGAGCUCUCCUUACCCAGAGUGAAAGCCAAAGUUCUCCACAGGACCUGUAAGGCCCUACCUGGUCUGUCCCUGUCCUGUCCCUAUCAGACCUCUUCUCUCCCCACUCUUGCCCUCACUCACCCUGUGCAGACACACCAGCCCCUCAUGGCUCCUCAUACUCCUGCCUCAGGACCUUUGCACAUGCUGAUCCUAUGGCUGGAACCCCCUUUCCCCCAGAUAUCAGUAUGAUUUCUCCUUUUCAUCCAGGUUUCUGUUCAGAUGUCACCACCUCCAGAAAGACCGUCUAGACACACUCCACUCAAUGACCUGAAAGGAUCUUGCUGAAAUGUUAAUUUAUUACAUUUUGGAUUUUUGUUUUGUUUUGUUUUGGAGACAAGGUCUUGCUCUGUUACCCACGCUGCAAUGCAGUUGCACAAUCUUGGCUCACUAUAGCCUCAAUCUCCUGGGUUCAAGUGAUCCUUCCACCUCCAAGUAGCUGGGACCACAGGUGUGCACCACCACACCCAGCUAAAUUUUUUUGUUUUUUUAGUGGAGACAGGAUCUCACUAUGUUGCCCAGGCUAGUCUCAAACUCCUGGGUUCAAGGGAUCGGCCCGCCUCAGCCUCCCCAAGUGCUGGGAUUAUGCCACUGCGCCCAGCCUAAUGUUAGCUUCUUUAUUGUCUGUCUCCCCUACCCAGCCCACAAACCCUGCCCUCUUGGAGUGCACCUUCUAGUGAGCCAGAUGGGCACCUCUUUGAAGUGGUGGCAUUUGAGUUGUGCCUUGAAGGACAGAUGCUGCUGAUCAUGGCGGAAAUUGAAGAAAGGUCUUUCCUGGCAGAGGGAACAGGCAGCGCAAAGGCCUAGGGGCUGCUCAAGUCCCUGCUAUAGAGCACUUAGAGUGUCCUGCCUAGUGGGUGAUGAGUCCCCAGGCUACACACAGCUGCUGGAAGAGUGCCCCAAGUCAUCGGAAAGCCAUGUGGUGUGGACAGGAGCCGGGCAGGCUGGACACACAAAGGCCCAUUGACAGCCACAUGGGAAGGGCCCAAGGCAGCUCCCUCUUGUCAACUCCCAAGGAGCUUUGGGUGGAGACAAUAGAAAGGCCAGAACUUCUCAGGAGACUCAGGUUUCCCUGGGGUGGGGAGGAAACGCAGGCAGCUUGGUCACUGGGACAUGCAGGCAGCCUUCUGAGGCUUCUGCAGUCCCCAACCCUGAUUCUAAGUCUAGCCCUGCCUCCCACAGUGGCCUUGACCGUGUCAUGCUCCCUCUCAGAGCCUAAAUUCCCUCAUCUCUAACACAAGGUGAGAGCCGGGUGCAGUGGCUCACGCCUGUAAUUUCAGCACUUUGGGAGGCCAAAGUGGGUAGAUCGCUUGAGUCCAGGAGUUUGAGACCAGCUGGACAACAUGGUGAAACCCCGUCUCUACAAAAGAUACAAAAAUUAGCUGGGCAUGGUGGUGCAUGCCUGUAGUCCCAGCUACUCAGGAGGCUGAGGUGAGACAAUCACUUGAGCCCAGGAGAUCGAGGCUGCAGUGAGCCAAGAUCUUGCCACUGCACUCAAGCCUGGGCAACAGAGCAACACUCAGUCUAAAUGAGUGAAUAAGUGAAUGAAUGAACAAAUCAAUUAAUUAAAUGGGGUGAAACAUAGAAGCAACCUUCCUGCGAUGGUGUGAGACUGCCUGGGUAGAGUGGUGGGAAGCAGGCCUGACCCAGCAGGUGUUUAACAGCAGGUGGUCAGCUAUGGUGGCUGGCUGGAGUGGCCGUCUGUGGCGGUCAGUAGUAGUGGUCAGCCAUAGUAGUCAGCUUUCCUGGUUGUCUAUCAUGACACUAAGCAUGGAGAUGCGCAGGUGAGCCUGGCUGGGGUUUCGGUCAGACAGACCUGGGUUCCACAGAUCUCCUGCUUUCCAGUGUGGGGUGGGUACAAUCUCCUUUGCCCAAGCCUCAGUUUCCCCAUCCAUCAGAUGGGGAUAAUGAGAGCCCCACACAGGGCAGUGACUGCAAAGCACCCAGCACAGAGGCCCCAGCAUGAUUAUAGAAUGUUCCAGGGCUUUGGAGGGCAGCCUGGGAAGAGCAGGCUAAGGAAAGCACAGGCCUCCCAGCUGAAGCAGAUCUUCAGAGCCAGCAGGGGAAGGGUGGCUGCAAACUAGCAGGAGCUGAGCCUCCCUCCAUGGGCAGGUGGGAAGCAUGAGGCAUGUUCCCAGGCUGAUAAUAGGAAGCAUUUCUGGAAAGGCCCAGCUGAAUAGUGAAGAGAACAGAGCAAAAAUGUGAAGAAUGCAGACCUAGGGUCAGCCUGCUGGGCUCAAGUCCCCUGGACUAGCUAUGUGCCCUUGGGCAAGUUACUAAACCUCUCUGUGCCUUGAUUUCUUCAUCUGUGAAACAGGGACGAGAACAUCCCUACUAGGCUACGGAGUUGAUGACGUCCUGAUGAGAGACCACUUCUACAAAGAAUGGCCCAUAGGCUGAGGGCCUGAAACAAUGACACGGACCAGGCAUGGUGGUGCGUGCCUGGAGUGCCAGCUACUCCAGAGGCUGAGGUAGGAGGAUCGCUUGAGCCCGUGAGGUUGAGGCUACAGUGAGCUGAGAUUGUAUACUGCACUCCAGCCUUGGUGACAGAGCAAGUCCCUGUUUCAAAUAAAUAAAUAAAUAAAUGAUGUUGGACUGAGAGAGAAUCAACACCCACCCAGGCUCAGCGGGGAACAUACGUGGGCAGGGCCAGGAAGAGCCAGGAGGAAUCUGGGGCAAGCCCUGCAUGUUUGUGUGAGCGCAGCCAGGUGUCAGGGUAGGGGGGCAGCAGGAGCAGAAACCCUGAGAAUAUAAAACAACUCGGCAGCAGUGGCAGUAGCCUCCGGGACCCUGAGAGCUACUAACACAGCCAGUGGGACCCACGCAACAAGAGCAAGCGUUCUGAGAUCAGAAGUGUGGACUUUGGCCUGGGGCAACAGGACGCUACUGAAGAUUCGGAAGUCAAGGGUCAGGACCCUCCUACCCUGAGAGUUGAUAUAACUAGGAUACUCCACAGUUUCACCCCUAGCACCUACCUUGGGGUCUGCCACACGGUAGGUGCUCAGGGAAAUAAUUUUAAAUAAAGAAAUGCAUUAAUGAGUGAAUGAGAAACUGGCUAGUAAAAGCUGCUCUUAUUUUGCCCUUCUUCACCCACAUAGCACAGGGCACCUCCAGGGACCUGGACACAGAGGGACCAGCAAAGCCGAAUGUCUGGAGUAGGAACGAGCUCAAGGAGACAUAGACACAGUGAGGAGGCCAGAGCGGCUGGAAUAGGAAAACAAAGGGAGCGUUGGGAGGGGAGGCCCCUCGGAGAUGAGGCGGACUCCUCAAGGCCUUGCCGGUAGGGAAUAGGGCUUCCUUCCAAGUGCAGUGGGAGCCUCCAGAGGGUUUAGUAGUUUUUUGCUUUUUUUUUUUUUUUCCCAGACAGGGUCUUGCUCUGUCACCCAGGCUGGAGUCCAGUGGUGCGAUCUCAGCUCACUGCAUCCUUGACCUAAUAGGCUCAAGGGAUCCUCCUACCUCAGCCUCCUGAGUAGCUGGGACUCCAGGCACCCACCACCACACCUGGCUAAUUUUUUUACUUUUUGUGGAGAUGGAGACUUGCUAUGUUGCCAGGGCUGGUCUCAAACUCCUGAACUCAAGCGAUCCUCCUGCCUCAGCCUCCUAACAUGCUGGGAUUACAGGCAUGAGCCAACACACCCAGCCAGUUGCAUUUUAAAUCCUAUCAAAGAGUGUAGGCAUUAUUAUCAUCCCCAUUUCACAGAUGAGGAAACUGAUGAGCAGAGAUUGAAUGAUUUACCUAAGGUCACACAGCUGCGUAGAGACCGUGCCAGGAUUCAGCCCCAGCCCACUGGGCUGUGGGAUCUGCAGGGCUGGAGAGGAUUGAACGAUGCCAGCUGGAGGCCGCACAGGUCCCCAUCUGCUAAGCCCUGCCCUGUGACCUAGGUGACAGUGGGUGUUGGCAGGCAUGAAGGACCUACACCGUGGGAAUGUGGGGAACAUGACCAGGCCCUGCUGAGUCACCAGGCCUGGCCGGAGCUAACCUCCAAUGGCUGGGAGCCGCCCCAGGGUCCGUCCUUGGUGCCCUGCCCAGCAGCUGCCAAGCACAGCCACUGACGCCUGGGCUGGAUGUCCCGAAGAAGCCAGAGUGACAAACAACCCCCAGAUCUGCCCUCCUCCCUUUGCUGUGUGGCCUUGGGCAAAUCCCCGGCCCUCCCUGGCCUGCAGUGCCCCUGCUGUCUGGCUCAAGCCCCAGGCCGCAGUGCUCCUCCCUUUGUGCUGGGUAGAAUCCUGGCCAAUUCCUGAUACUGAGUUUGGAACAGGGCAGAAAGGCAGGACGGAUAAAUACAGGCAGUGGGGAAGCUGUGGGCCUCACAGGACUAGACUCCUGUGGGUGUAGCAGAGGCCAAGCCUACCUCAUCAGAACCCCAGGGGCCGAGGCUCCACCCAGAUAACAGGACACAAGAAGAGAGCGCUUCCUAAGCAGAAAUCAGCUUCUAUAAGCAAAAUAGAUAGGGCAAGCCAGCUAGCAUUUAUUGAGCACUUAAUAUGUGCUAGGCAUUCUACAGCUAUUAUCUAACUUAAUCUUCUUAAUAAUGGAUGAGGAUGAUGAUGCAUGGUGAUUCCCAUUUUGCAGAUGAGGAAACUAAGACCUAAAGAGGUAAAGCCCUGGCUGGGAACAGUGGCUCAUGCCUGUCAUCCCAGCACUUUGGGAGGCCAAGACAGGCAGAUCACGAGGUCAGGUGUUUGAGACCAGUCUGUCCAAUAUAGUAAAACUCCAUCUCUACCAAAAAUACAAAAAUUAGCCUGUAGUCCUGGCUACUUAGGAGGCUGAGGCAGGAGAAUAGCUUGAACCCAGGAGGCGGAGGUUGCAGUGAGCUGAGACCACCACUGCACUCCAGCCCGGGUGACAGAAGGAGACUCCAUCUCAAAAAAAAAAAAAAAAAAAGUAAAGGCCUUGUUCAAGGUUCCCAAGCCAGGAAGUGGCAAAGCCAGGGUGAAAUCCAAGUCCGUGUCAUUCCAGAGUCCCUUUCCCUGGACCUCAGAUUCUAAAGCUCUAGUCCCCCCCAGCCCCCCAGUAAAGUACAGCAUUCAGAACUGAGCCUCAAGGGACCAGCCAGGCCUGAUCGUGAACUUCGGAGCAAGGGAGGAUUGUCAGUGCAGUGAAGUGAGUCUGGUGGGGCCUGAUGGCCUCCUGGGGACAGCCUGGGACAAUCACAAAUGGAAGCUGCCUCUGUGCUGGAGCCUGCCCUGUCCUGGGGAUCUCUCCCACCCAGGACGAGCCCACCUCAACAUACAAGUCACCUGGGGCCCACGUAGCCCAUUUUAGGGAUGCAAAACCCAAGGCCCAGAAUGUCCCUGUAACGUGCCCAAGGUCUCAUAGUGAGCACACGGUUGGUAAUACUGGAACCCAGUUGCCUCUCUCAUGCAGCCUCAGUUUCUCCUCCUCCCAGGAUCUCCAGUGUUAAAAAACAUAUGAUGAGGCCAGGCGCCGUGGCUCACACCUGUAAUCCCUGCACUGAGGGAGACCACGGCGGGAAGAUCACCUGAGGUCAGGAGUUCAAGACCAGCCUAGCCAACACAAUGAAACCCGGUCUCUACUAAAAAUACAAAAAUUAGCCAGGCAUGGUGGCGGGUGCCUGUAAUCCCAGCUACUCAGGAGGCUGAGGCAGGAGAAUUGCUUGAACCCGGGAGGCAGAGGUUGCAGUGAGCCGAGAUUGUGCCAUUGCACUCCAGCUCUCCGAGACAGAGUGAGACUCUGUCUCAAAAACAAACAAGCCAAAAAAAAAAAAAAAAAACAACCCUACAAUGUGCUCCCUUGACCCUGGUCAUCUUCCAACAAGCGUCCAGUGCUCCGCCCUGCCUAUGGCUGAACUUCUGGUGGAAGCGGUGCAUACUCCUCCACCCACUUCCACACCGCCACCCUCUCCUUGGUGACCUUGAGCAGGCCUCCAGCCUCUGUGCCACCAAAUGGCUCUUGGCGUUGCCAUCCUUGCUGCCAAGUCCCGCCAUGGGAUCCCAUACUCAUAGCCACUUCUCAGCAGCGUCCGACACUGCUGACCGCCCUCUCCUUCCCGAAACAUCCUCCUAGAAACGCCUCCAUUCCUGACACUAGAUGCUCCAUGGGUCCUGCCCCUCCUCCUCCUUCCUGGCAGUUCCACUCUGUGACAUUA